Molecule: long non-coding RNA, 391 nt
Filed under: Carica papaya (papaya)
Lineage: Eukaryota; Viridiplantae; Streptophyta; Magnoliopsida; Brassicales; Caricaceae
Description: long non-coding RNA (CPAP_LNC009269)
Source: RNAcentral
UACAAUUUGUUUUUGUUUAAAAAGGAAAAUAGUGAGUUAUAAAUAAAAAAUAACUCCAACAAAAAGUAAGUAGUGUGAGACAAAGGAAAGAUCAAUGACUAAGAUUCAUCCUCCACUAUGAAAAUCUAUGGAGGCAAACAUGUAUAAAAUGGAUACAUGGUUCUUUUCCCUUCUUCCCCACCUAACAUAGUCUAUUUCCAAACCCUUGAGUCUCCAUCGUUGAUCUGAUUUCCCCCUCAAUUCAAUUUUUAAGAGAGACAUCAGUGAGAGUGACUCAAUUUUGCCAAUAGUACUACUCAAAGUUUUGUGGGUUGACAUCAUAGAGGACGAAGUGGGACAGACGUCAAAAAAAAUAGAAAUGGACUCCUCGAGUGAUUCAUGGUAGAAGAGA